Molecule: unclassified non-coding RNA, 355 nt
Filed under: soil metagenome
Description: partial contains 5.8S ribosomal RNA, internal transcribed spacer 2, and large subunit ribosomal RNA
Rfam family: 5.8S ribosomal RNA (bases 1-120)
Source: RNAcentral
GAUGAAGAACGUAGCGAAAUGCGAUAAGUAAUGUGAAUUGCAGAAUUCAGUGAAUCAUCGAAUCUUUGAACGCACAUUGCGCCCGCCAGUAUUCUGGCGGGCAUGCCUGUCCGAGCGUCAUUUCAACCCCCGAACCCCUCCGGGGGGUCGGCGUUGGGGAUCGGCCCUGCCUCUUGGCGGUGGCCGUCUCCGAAAUACAGUGGCGGUCUCGCCGCAGCCUCUCCUGCGCAGUAGUUUGCACACUCGCAUCGGGAGCGCGGCGCGUCCACAGCCGUUAAACACCCAACUUCUGAAAUGUUGACCUCGGAUCAGGUAGGAAUACCCGCUGAACUUAAGCAUAUCAAUAAGCGGAGGA